RNAcentral lists this long non-coding RNA (861 nucleotides) under Olea europaea subsp. europaea. Lineage: Eukaryota; Viridiplantae; Streptophyta; Magnoliopsida; Lamiales; Oleaceae. The record is from RNAcentral.
AGAAAGUCCACUUUUAGGUAUUUGAUCACCUUCUUAGGGGAAGUAGUUUCAUGGCAGUCUAGACUACAGAAAUGUGCUGCUCUAUCUACCAUAGAGGCUGAGUACAUAGCCAUUACUAAAGCUAGCAAGGAGUUACUAUGGAUGAAGAAGUUCUUACAAGAGCUGGGCCUAGAGCAAGAAAAGUAUAUACUCUAUUGUGAUAGUCAGAGUGCAAUCCAUCUUAGUAAGAAUCCAACUUUCCACUCAAGAUCCAAACAUAUUGAAGUGAGGUAUCAUUGGAUUCGAGAUGCACUGGAGAUGAAGAAGUUACAGCUUGGGAAAAUCCAUACUGAUGAGAAUGGUUCAGAUAUGAUGACAAAGCCAUUACCUAUGGAGAAACUACAAAUAUUUAGAACGAAAGCGAGCUUUGUGGAGUCCCUCAUAUAGUCGGGAGGGGGAGAUUUGUUGGGUUUUCCCUUCACUUUAGGGAUUUACCCAUUUAGUAGCCCACUAAAGCCCAAAGCAAUUAAACCCAUUUAAUGGUCCAAUAACAAAGGCAAAUAUAGAUACAAUUGAGGGAGAAAAACGAGCAGCUGACUUUCCAAAAUAGGCAGCUUCAUUUUCUUCUGAAACAGAGACCGAACGAGAGAGAGAGAGAGACUACGCUAUUUCAGUUUCUUCUUGCCAAAGAUCGAGAUUCAUCCAUGGUCCGAUUAAACUGAAAUUUCAGUAUGUUAUUCUUGGCAAAAAUAGCUACAUUUUGACAGGAGCUAAUCGUCCAGAUUCUUCUCCAUUUCUCUGGGCUCUACACACUAGUUUAGUGAGAUUUUCUCCUUAUUGUGUGUGUAUCUAUUUUAGUAUGAUGUUGUUGUUGAUAUCCAA